GACUCCAUGAAGCUGGAUUCGCUAGUAAUCGCGCAUCAGCCACGGCGCGGUGAAUACGUUCCCGGGCCUUGUACACACCGCCCGUCAAGCCAUGAAAGCCGGGGGUACCUGAAGUGCGUAACCGCGAGGAGCGCCCUAGGGUAAAACUGGUGAUUGGGGCUAAGUCGUAACAAGGUACC
RNAcentral lists this ribosomal RNA (179 nucleotides) under uncultured bacterium. Its description in RNAcentral is "partial 16S ribosomal RNA". It matches the Rfam family "Bacterial small subunit ribosomal RNA", at positions 1314 to 1500 of the family's 1533-position model. The record is from RNAcentral.